Long non-coding RNA from Haliotis rubra (blacklip abalone), 151 nucleotides. RefSeq lists it as uncharacterized. The record is from RefSeq and is a predicted model, not a curated record. The transcript has 3 exons. NCBI's taxonomy places the organism in Eukaryota, Metazoa, Mollusca, Gastropoda, Lepetellida, Haliotidae.
UGUGGGUACGAAGACUGAAAGAAAUUAUUUCGGUUUUUUCAUGGCAAAAAGUAGAUAUUUUGCAAGACAAUUUAUAAUAUAAGUAUUCUUUGAUGUAAACAACUCAGCUAAUUUCACUUCAGAUGGAUAUAUAUAGACCCGUGAAGAUCCG